UGCCAGCAGCCGCGGUAAUACGAAGGGGGCUAGCGUUGUUCGGAAUUACUGGGCGUAAAGCGCACGUAGGCGGACUUUUAAGUCAGAUGUGAAAUCCCGGGGCUCAACCUCGGAACUGCAUUUGAAACUGGAAGUCUGGAGUUCAGGAGAGGUUAGCGGAAUACCGAGUGUAGAGGUGAAAUUCGUAGAUAUUCGGUGGAACACCAGUGGCGAAGGCGACUCACUGGCACAUUUCUGACGCUGAGGCGCGAAAGCGUGGGGAGCAAACAGGAUUAGAUA
Molecule: ribosomal RNA, 279 nt
Filed under: uncultured bacterium
Lineage: Bacteria
Description: partial 16S ribosomal RNA
Rfam family: Bacterial small subunit ribosomal RNA
Source: RNAcentral